RNAcentral lists this ribosomal RNA (253 nucleotides) under uncultured bacterium. RNAcentral's name for it is "partial 16S ribosomal RNA". It matches the Rfam family "Bacterial small subunit ribosomal RNA", at positions 524 to 776 of the family's 1533-position model. The record is from RNAcentral.
UACGGAGGGGGCAAGCGUUGUUCAGAAUCAUUGGGCGUAAAGGGCGCGUAGGCGGCCUGUCAAGUCGGGUGUGAAAUCCCUCGGCUCAACCGAGGAACCGCACUCGAUACUGUCGGGCUGGAGUCCGGGAGGGGAUGGUGGAAUUCCCAGUGUAGCGGUGAAAUGCGUAGAUAUUGGGAAGAACACCUGAGGCGAAGGCGGGUUGCUGGGCCGACACUGACGCUGAGGCGCGAAAGCCAGGGGAGCGAACGGG